GGUUGCAGCAUCUGGUAGAUCAAUCAUUAAGCGUUAUGCUUAACACAUGCAAGUCGAAGUUUUCGGAGUUCGAAAGAGAAGCGGGGUAGAGGAAUGGUCAACUCAUCAGGCUCAUGAUCUGAAGAUUACAGGUUCAAAUCCUGUUCCCGCCUUAUGAUGCAAAACACAGCAUCAACCGGGGUAUCAACUAUCCCGGUAGAAACCCAGCCUACUGGCCGGGUUGGAUCAAAAUCGAUCAUAAUUUACUCAUGAUUAGAGCUUCUCUU
RNAcentral lists this transfer RNA (266 nucleotides) under Hevea brasiliensis (rubber tree). The stretch from base 80 to 152 matches the Rfam family "tRNA". The record is from RNAcentral. Lineage: Eukaryota; Viridiplantae; Streptophyta; Magnoliopsida; Malpighiales; Euphorbiaceae.